RNAcentral lists this ribosomal RNA (899 nucleotides) under Oxalobacteraceae bacterium CNRA17. Its description in RNAcentral is "bacterial SSU rRNA". It matches the Rfam family "Bacterial small subunit ribosomal RNA", at positions 94 to 988 of the family's 1533-position model. The record is from RNAcentral. Lineage: Bacteria; Pseudomonadati; Pseudomonadota; Betaproteobacteria; Burkholderiales; Oxalobacteraceae.
AGUGGCGAACGGGUGAGUAAUAUAUCGGAACGUACCCUGGAGUGGGGGAUAACGUAGCGAAAGUUACGCUAAUACCGCAUACGAUCUAAGGAUGAAAGUGGGGGAUUCGCAAGAACCUCAUGCUCCUGGAGCGGCCGAUAUCUGAUUAGCUAGUUGGUAGGGUAAAAGCCUACCAAGGCUUCGAUCAGUAGCUGGUCUGAGAGGACGACCAGCCACACUGGAACUGAGACACGGUCCAGACUCCUACGGGAGGCAGCAGUGGGGAAUUUUGGACAAUGGGCGCAAGCCUGAUCCAGCAAUGCCGCGUGAGUGAAGAAGGCCUUCGGGUUGUAAAGCUCUUUUGUCAGGGAAGAAACGGUGAGGGCUAAUAUCCCUUGCUAAUGACGGUACCUGAAGAAUAAGCACCGGCUAACUACGUGCCAGCAGCCGCGGUAAUACGUAGGGUGCAAGCGUUAAUCGGAAUUACUGGGCGUAAAGCGUGCGCAGGCGGUUUUGUAAGUUUGUCGUGAAAGCCCCGGGCUCAACCUGGGAAUUGCGAUGAAGACUGCAAGGCUUGAAUCUGGCAGAGGGGGGUAGAAUUCCACGUGUAGCAGUGAAAUGCGUAGAGAUGUGGAGGAACACCGAUGGCGAAGGCAGCCCCCUGGGUCAAGAUUGACGCUCAUGCACGAAAGCGUGGGGAGCAAACAGGAUUAGAUACCCUGGUAGUCCACGCCCUAAACGAUGUCUACUAGUUGUCGGGUUUUAAUUAACUUGGUAACGCAGCUAACGCGUGAAGUAGACCGCCUGGNGAGUACGGUCGCAAGAUUAAAACUCAAAGGAAUUGACGGGGACCCGCACAAGCGGUGGAUGAUGUGGANUAAUUCNAUGCAACGCGAAAAACCUUACCUACCCUUGACAUG